AUAUAAUUCGCUAAGAAAUGCCGAUGUAGUUUGAAAAACAUUCCAUUGUAAGCCCAAAGGUUUAGUUUCAGAAACAACUAGUGACUUUCCCAUAUCAAAGUAUGGCAUGCAGCAUUAUCUGAAACUACAUAUCAACCCAAAUGAGCCAAUAAUUAAUUAAUUCGAAUUUAUUCUUAAGGCUGGUUAGGGUUUAGCUAAAUUCUCAUAACGGGUAGCGGGUACGGGUAGUUGUGCUACGGGUAGCGGGUCGGGUAACGGGCAGCAUUUUCGCUACCCGCGGCAACCCUAAUACAUAAGAGUUCCCUGUAAAGGGAGAUACGUACAUACACACAUGCAAAAUGUUUUAUUUAUGUAGUUGGUAAAUGAAGAUCCCAAACUGUCUCAGCUAUUGUUUACUCGAAUUUCUUACACAACACGCUUAAAAAUAACACCAAUUAAAGAUGAAAUACUCACAAUGUGUAAAUAUGAACAUAUGAAUGUAUUUUAAGCAAUGUUUGGGAGUGAAAAAAACUUAGGGUCAGGCAGGAAACCACUGCGUAUCUUACUGUUCUUCCGCAGAUAAUUUUCUUGCACAGAAAGAAUACUUAUGUCCUGGAAACCAAGUACAUACUAAAUAGUAGAUAUGUAUAUACAGGGAAAUUAUUUGUGCAUGUCUGUCACAUCAUUUGUAUAUUUUGACGCUCUAGAAACUGACAUCCUCCUUACUUUGUUAACAAAGGAAUGAGUUGUGCUAUCUGCUAAAAAUACAUGAUCUACAUAUGUAUGUAUAACUCUCUUUCUCAAUGCAACCGUUCACUAUGCCAGAAUUUUUUCCAAGUCAUUUUCUCUGAUUGACAAGACUGGAAAGAAGGAAGAUUUCGCUGUUGAGUGUUGAACAAGAUAGUCCAUUGGGUUUUGCAACCGAUAUCAUUUUUUCUUUGAUCAAAAAGAGGGCCUCGAUCGACCAGCAUGACGUGCUUGUCAAACGUUACGUCGUGUAUGCCAUGUGUUGCAAGUGGAUGUUAUUGGGGGCAGCCAGUUUCUGGGUCAACUCUUUGUGUCCCUACGAAGGUGUCUUUGGUUGGGCAGUUGUGGCGGACGAUUGUGCCGCCUCUUGCGGAGGACGCGUGCCCCUCUAUUCCAACAACAACAACUAUUCGUCCAGAAACGGAAAGUAGCCCGGUUUGCUGGAUAUUUCUCGAUUAACGGAGAGGUAUGGAUUUUAAGGUCUCCAUAAGGAAGCAUGACGUACAUUUUUUAAGGGGGAAUAUGAGACGAGGCGGGAACGCGUCAUACCAUAGAGGCUUAAGCUAGCAAAAUUUGACAAUUUUGAGAAUAUUUGAGAGAAAAGUGCCGUUCAUAAAUUUGUGAUGCGAAAUGGGGAGGGGAGGGUCUAAGGCUCGAAGGAUAUCAUGUCUAUGUGACAUAUAGGGUCCAGAAAAUUUUCGCGUUACUUAAUUUAUUCUCGGCCCCUGAACCAAAAAUUCAUAUAUAUUAAUGUGAAAUUCGACGUGGUGGCUCAAAGUCAAUGUAUACAUUGGAAAUUUCAGGUAUGGCAAUCGCUCUUUUUGCCAUACUUCUCGCGGUGGGGUGCCUCGUCGCGCGUUUUUGCGUGUUUAGGGUUGACCAGAUUGGUGAGCUGUUUUUUUAUCAAAAAGUGUUUCUGAUUUCUGACGGGGCGUUUUAAUAAACAAAGUUGUAAGUGCAAGAAUUCUGAAUUUAAUCUUUUACAGGUAAUACUGCUGGUAAUGCUAACCGCAUAUUAAAGGAGAAUUAUAUAAUUUUUUCAGUUCAACUUCAGGUUCUUAAGGAGGGUGGGGGAGGAAAAGAAUGUAGAGAAAAAAGGGUGAAAGUUGUUGGAAGGGAAGAAGAGGGAGAGCCCGAAGGUAGAGGAGAUUGCGAAGUUAACUAUGAGGAUGAUUAAGGAGGGGACUAAAGUGGGGGGAGGAGAUUAGCUACUCAUUUUAAGAUUAACAUGAAUGAGUAGGAUAUUGAAACGGUGUAAUCUCAUCCAAGAUUGAUCAAAUUCGUCCCGUUAUCCAUUUACUUGUUACAUAAGUUUAUGUUUAAUACAAAAUGUAAUUAUGCUAAUUUCAACUAUUUAACAACUCCAUUAGGUUACCAUUGAUGAUUACAAUCAUCUUAAAUUUUAACAAAUCGAUUUAUUUCGCAAAGGAUUACGACACUAAAUAAAUUAUACAGUUAUCAGGAAUAUUAAAACACUUCAGAACGA
Molecule: RNA transcript, 2212 nt
Organism: Folsomia candida
Lineage: Eukaryota; Metazoa; Arthropoda; Collembola; Entomobryomorpha; Isotomidae
Exons: 4
Source: RefSeq, a predicted model, not a curated record